This 390-nucleotide ribosomal RNA is filed under the name uncultured bacterium. RNAcentral's name for it is "bacterial SSU rRNA". It matches the Rfam family "Bacterial small subunit ribosomal RNA", at positions 28 to 417 of the family's 1533-position model. The record is from RNAcentral.
GACGAACGCUGGCGGCGUGCUUAACACAUGCAAGUCGAGCGGUAAGGCCCUUUCGGGGGUACGACGAGCGGCGAACGGGUGAGUAACACGUGGGUGACCUGCCCUCAGCUCUGGGAUAAGCCUGGGAAACCGGGUCUAAUACUGGAUAUGACUCCAUGACGCAUGUUGUGGGGUGGAAAGCCUUGUGCGGCUGAGGAUGGGCCCGCGGCCUAUCAGCUUGUUGGUGGGGUGANGGCCUACCAAGGCGACGACGGGUAGCCGGCCUGAGAGGGCGACCGGCCACACUGGGACUGAGACACGGCCCAGACUCCUACGGGAGGCAGCAGUGGGGAAGUCUUGCGCAAUGGGCGAAAGCCUGACGCAGCGACGCCGCGUGAGGGAUGACGGCCU